RNAcentral lists this ribosomal RNA (373 nucleotides) under uncultured eukaryote. RNAcentral describes it as "partial 18S ribosomal RNA". It matches the Rfam family "Eukaryotic small subunit ribosomal RNA", at positions 592 to 976 of the family's 1831-position model. The record is from RNAcentral.
CAAUAGCGUAUAUUAAAGUUGUUGCAGUUAAAAAGCUCGUAGUUGAAUUUUUGCUUGCCGCCGAUGUCGGAACUUCCGUACGUUCGGCGGCGUGCAUCCUUGGGUGGAACCUGUGUGGCAUUAGGUUGUCGUGCAGGGGAUGCUCAUCGUUUACUGUGAAAAAAUUAGAGUGUUCAAAGCAGGCUUAUGCCGUUGAAUAUAUUAGCAUGGAAUAAUAAGAUAGGACCUUGGUACUAUUUUGUUGGUUUGCGCACCGAGGUAAUGAUUAACAGGGACAGUUGGGGGUAUUCGUAUUCCAUUGUCAGAGGUGAAAUUCUUGGAUUUACGCAAGACAAACAGCUGCGAAAGCGUCUGCCAAGGAUGUUUUCAUUAA